UCUUCCCAAAGACCACUAUUAGUUGUCUCCAAUCACUAUAUGGAAACAACAAGAGAGAGGUUUCAUUUUUCAAAUCCGUUUAUGGACUAUGAAGAUUAUACUAGGACAACGAGAAGAACUACAACGUCAAAGACAACGAGAAAACCAUUAGUUAUCCCAAAUCCAUUCAUGAGUGCCACAAGGACGACGAAAAAAGGAGCAACUAAAACAACAAGGGAGCCAAUAAUUAUCGCAAAUCCUUUUAAUAGUUCUAAAAAGACAACUAAAAAAUCAAAAACGACACAACCGACGAGGAGACCUAUAAUUAUACCGAAUCCCUUUGAGUAUUCAACGAGAAGUCCAAAAACGUCGAAACCGACAAGAUUGAGUAUUGUUAUUUCCAAUCCGUUUAUAGCGUCUACACCAAGAAGGCGUAUAAAGAUUUCCAAUCCCUAUAUUCCAACGAGGAAAUCCACAAGAAAGAGUUUCCACUUUUAUAACCCAUUUAUGGAGUAUGAAUUCCUACCUCAAUAAUGCAUGGCUAAUACCCACAAAUAAGAAGCAUUCGAAAGCAACAUUUAAAAAAUGUUGUUUAAGGGCUUUUUUAAUUCUUGAAUCGGUAAGCACGAUGCGGAUGGACUUAAGACUUUGUUGAUUAUUUCAAAGUGUGGAUGGUCUUUGAAAAGCUUUUAUAUCGGGACCAACCGGAUAA
Long non-coding RNA from Drosophila bipectinata, 691 nucleotides. RefSeq lists it as uncharacterized. Lineage: Eukaryota; Metazoa; Arthropoda; Insecta; Diptera; Drosophilidae. The record is from RefSeq and is a predicted model, not a curated record.